This 1257-nucleotide long non-coding RNA is filed under the name Fukomys damarensis (Damara mole-rat). RNAcentral describes it as "lncRNA (ENSFDAG00000033005.1)". The record is from RNAcentral. Lineage: Eukaryota; Metazoa; Chordata; Mammalia; Rodentia; Bathyergidae.
AUGCCCCCUCACCUCGCCUGCCUCCCCGCAAGGCUCCCUGUGCUGUUUUCCUUGCUGGCCGUUCUGCUGCUUCUGUUGGUGGGGCUCUCGCUGCUGGCCUGGAGGAUCUGGCAGAGACGGCUCAAAGGUGGUGAUCCUUCAGGGCCCAGCCAGAACCCCAGGCAGGCCGGUGAGAGGUGGGAGCCUCAGUACGCAAACCUGCAGCUGCACACAUGGUCCCGGCGGGAAGGGCCGGUGACGCCGAGGCAGGUGGAGGUGGAGUACAGCACGGUGGCAGUCGCCAGGGAAGAUCUUCACUGUACCUCAGUGGUGUUUGAUUCGCAGAAGGAGGACUCUAACGCCAAUGGGGCUCCUCGCCAGGGACCCCAGAAGGAGGAACCAGAGUACAGUGUGGUCAAGAAGCCCGGGAACUGCCUUCUUGGCCCAUCUCCCCCUUAGCCUGCUCCCUCGUGGGGAGGGCCGUCCCUCCCGCACCCUAAGCCCAGCUGGCUUCCUCGAAGACAAGCAGGAACCAGGGAUCCGCGGGACCAGGGGGCCUCUCGUCUCUUUCCUCUAUGCCCUGCUGCUUCCCGGCCGUGCGUGGGGAUGACCCGGCUUCUCGGUCCCACGUGACUCUAGGAGUUGCCACGGCUCACAUCGACGACACCUACAGAGAGCUUUGUAAGUCACAGCCUGCUGGGCGAGGAGAGCUGAGAGCCAGCAAUGUUCCUGUGCAGAGGGUCACAGGGCGCCAUGCAAUGUCAUCUCCCUCCCCACCUCCCAGAUGAGGACACAGAGGCUCAAAGGAGAAAAGGCCGACCUGGGGCUCCAGGACUGGUGGCGAGAUUCUCUGGACUCUUAGGUUUAUUGUUCAAUCGAUGAGACAGAAAUAAAGUUUAAACUAUCUUCUUAAGGGAGAAGAAGAAAGUGACUGAAAUGACGCCUGCCGUGUCUGUGGCCCACAUUAAGGGGAGUACCUGGCUUUGAUGCCAGAGGAACUUUUUGUUUGUUUGAGACAGAAUCUCACCGUGUAGCUCAGGCUGGCUUCCCCCUCCCCCAGUACCAGGGACUGAACUCAGGACCUUGCAUUUGCCAGGCAGGCACGGCGCCACCAAGCUACAUCCCUGGCCCCAGCUCAGGCUGGUCUUGAACUCACCGCGUAGGCCAGGCCGGCCUCAAAUUCAUGACGAUCCUCCUGCCUCAGCCUCCAGUGCUAGGAUUACAAGUAUGCACCACCACACCCAGCUCACAGAGAAACUUCGAGAUGCAAGGGGGGGC